CUUAGUUCCUGCUGUGGGUCUAAUUUUGAAAGAAAAAAAUACUAAACAAAUUCUAUUCCUAUGUUAUACCAUGGGCUGAAUUUUUAUCUCAGUUACACAGACUUUUCUGCUUUCUCUGCCAAAGAGCUAAUAGGCCCAACAUUUUGGAAUCUGGUACACGUAGGUCUACUCAUCUCCCACGUGACUAUUUAGGACAUAAUCAUCAGAAAAAAAAAAUGUCUAGAGACGGCUGGAUGUUCUCCAUGCGGAAGAAGGAAGCGGAUGAGGAAGCCAGCCUGAGCAGUGCAGGGGAAGAGGCAUCGUCUUACUUGAUGUUGUUAUUGAGCGUACAUCUGUCCCCAUCCCAAAAGAGCUCCAGACCUCAGCUUCUUCCUUGCCUGGGUCCAGUCUUGCCUGUCCUCCCUGGGAUAGCAUGCUGUGCUAAUACAGAGCCAGUUUACACAGUUCCCAGCAGGUGGCAGUGUUGCCCGGCGUUGUGGUCCCUCAGAGGCUGGAUGCGGAUUCAAAGCACAGCUGAAGUGGUCAACCUCUGUCCAAAUAACAUGUGGCCAAUGAUCACAGUAGAGGGGCGCAGUCGGUUAUCCACCACCGGUAACUUGUUAAACUGUUCAGUACACUACUUAUUCCUCAACAGCCUUGCUCCCAGACCACCUCUCUUCUACAACUGCACGUUGGUUCCCUUUGAUUAUUGGAAAAGUCUUAAUUCCUUAGUCUAAAAAUUAAAAACUUCCAUCUACUGAAUUCAAUUAGUUUCUCCGGCCUGAAGGACAUAAUUCCACCCCCAAAUACGUCAUGCAGCAGCCAUAUUGACUCCCUGGCCUGCGAAGAACUUGAAAGACAGCGGGUGCAGGAAAGUUCCGGAAUCUUCCUUCACUAUCUCGAAAGCAGAUGAAAUUCCCUGCCCAGCACCGGGAGGCUAUCAUCCUUAUCCUCAAGGACAGAAAGCCAAGGUCAGGGGAAAUCUGUGCAAAUAGUUCUUCCACAGUAAUUCUUAGUUUUCCAGUCACUUCUCCACCCACUUAAUUACCCUUUUUCAAGCCCACUGUCUUGUUAUGGUUCCACAGUUUAUGACUCUUUGUCCCAGUCCCUGUUUACAGGUCCAACUCUAACUGACUGGGGUCUUUGUUUCUUUACGAAUGCCCCAGGCUACAUCAAACCUGUGUUAAAUACAUUUGUUUGCUUUUUCCUGAUGGUCUCUCUUAUGUCAACUUGAUUCUCAGGCCUAGGUAGAAAACUCUAAGAGAACCGCAGUGAAGGUUUGCUUCCUCUACUGUGGCAGUCAGGAUGGGCAGCAAUAGGAGAAAACAGGAAGGAAGGAUAAGAAUUAGGAGUUUCCCACAGUAUCUUAGGACUAUGGAAAUUAUUGAGGAAAUUAAAAAAAUAAUUCGUUAUAAGGUGUGUUGGUUUGGCAUUUAUUUUUGCAAGGGAACACAAUACAAUACAGGACACAUAUUUUAUAUGAUUAUUUAUAGUAGUCACCCAAAGAACAAUGUACAAAAGAGUGCAGGAAAUCUGUCCACACACC
This 1525-nucleotide long non-coding RNA is filed under the name Chinchilla lanigera (long-tailed chinchilla). RNAcentral's name for it is "lncRNA (ENSCLAG00000025993.1)". The record is from RNAcentral. Lineage: Eukaryota; Metazoa; Chordata; Mammalia; Rodentia; Chinchillidae.